GACAGGGGAUGCAAGCGUUGUCCGGAAUGAUUGGGCGUAAAGCGUCUGUAGGUGGCUUUUUAAGUCUGCCGUCAAAUCCCAGGGCUCAACCCUGGCCCGGCGGUGGAGACUACUAAGCUGGAGUACGGUAGGGGCAGAGGGAAUUUCCGGUGGAGCGGUGAAAUGCGUAGAUAUCGGAAAGAACACCAAGGGCGAAGGCACUCUGCGGGGCCGAAACUGACACUGAGAGACGAGAGCUAGGGGAGCAAAUGGG
Molecule: ribosomal RNA, 253 nt
Filed under: uncultured bacterium
Lineage: Bacteria
Description: partial 16S ribosomal RNA
Rfam family: Bacterial small subunit ribosomal RNA
Source: RNAcentral